ACUUAUAUAGUAUAAAAAUUAUACUCGACUUCCAAUCGAAAGAUCUAUUUAACUAGUAUAAGUA
This 64-nucleotide transfer RNA is filed under the name Agrypnus sp. YD-2019. RNAcentral's name for it is "tRNA-Gly". The record is from RNAcentral. Lineage: Eukaryota; Metazoa; Arthropoda; Insecta; Coleoptera; Elateridae.